Lepidothrix coronata (blue-crowned manakin) is the source of this 757-nucleotide long non-coding RNA. RefSeq lists it as uncharacterized. The record is from RefSeq and is a predicted model, not a curated record. The transcript has 5 exons. Lineage: Eukaryota; Metazoa; Chordata; Aves; Passeriformes; Pipridae.
AGUAUGCUUGGAUUUUGUAUCUGACUAUUAAAAGAAGCUUACUCUUAAAUGAUCUUUCUUUGGCAUAUAAGUCCUCCCCAGUAUCAGUAGAGUCAUGGUGUAUUAACAGGGAAUAUGAAGAUACUACAACCAAGAGAGCAAAACCCUAACAAGUUUAUAGCACUGGAAUGAGGCUGAGCUAGGAAGAGCUCAAAAGAAAAUCACUUUUGUGUGAAAUCAUCAAAAAACAGUCACUGAACUUGUGAACAUGUAUGGCUUCAGAGCACAUCUGGAUAUCUUCACCAAAAGAAAUUGAAAUGACUGCACUCUCCGGAUGGACCCUGAGCUUGGUUUGUCGGUUGCUUUGCUUGGGACUGCCAAUGGAUCCUGACACCAGCCUGAUGUGUUCAGACCCCGUGAGACAGCACCCAUCAGGAAAGGCACCAAGGAGGAUCCCAGCUUCUCUUCCCUCGUGGAGCAGCCCCACCCUCGCUACUUCCUGACAUUCUUGGAUCAUGUCUGGAGGUUAAACAGCUCCAGGUAGAUUGUAAAACAUCUCUCCUGUAUGGACUGGACACUAGAUGAAUAUUGCUGAGAGAAGGUGACAUGUAAUACUCACCAGAUGGCUUCAGCCCACACUGUACUUUUUAGAGGAGGACUGUCCUGUGCUGGUUUCUUACAAGCUGAUCUACUUUAGCUACUCAGAAAACAGCUGUGGUAGUUCUUAAGAACUGUUUACUGAUUGAAACCAUGUCAUAUUAUUAGAAACAUUUAUAAG